GCCUGGAUGGCUCAGUCGGUUGAGCGUCCGACUUCGGUUCAGGUCAUGAUCUUACGGUUUGUGGGUUCGAGUCCCGUGUCAGGCU
This 85-nucleotide transfer RNA is filed under the name Felis catus (domestic cat). It matches the Rfam family "tRNA". Rfam says of the family: Transfer RNA (tRNA) molecules are approximately 80 nucleotides in length. RNAcentral also lists the same sequence under 3 other names. The record is from Rfam by way of RNAcentral. Lineage: Eukaryota; Metazoa; Chordata; Mammalia; Carnivora; Felidae.